RNAcentral lists this long non-coding RNA (1461 nucleotides) under Cricetulus griseus (Chinese hamster). RNAcentral's name for it is "lncRNA (ENSCGRG00015039341.1)". The record is from RNAcentral. Lineage: Eukaryota; Metazoa; Chordata; Mammalia; Rodentia; Cricetidae.
GAACAAGUAAACAAGAGGAAUUGAUGUGACAAGAAUUUAGUAAGUAAAAGGCAGGCUUCAGCUGAAGAUAGGGUUUCUCUAUGUAACCCUGGCUACCCUGGAACUAGCCCUGUAGGCAAGGCUGGCCUUGAACUCAGAGAUCCACCCACAUCUACCUCCCACAUGCUGGGAUUAAAGGCUUACAGGCUUCUUCCAUGUCCAAUAGCAAUGAGUGUGUCUCUGUCCCCUGAGGAAGCCAUGGCUAAUUUGCUUAGGCCUGGACAGCAUGCUUUUUGAGAACCAGCUGUGGGAAGAGAAUGGAUUGUGAUGCCUGGAGCCCACCCAGGAGCUAGGAAUGAGGUGUGACCUGCUCUGGUAUCAUGCACUGAAGAGACAGCCCUCAGAACAUUCACUGGAGCCCAGGACACCACUAAGCGGGAGAAGAAAUGGCAGCCUCUGAUCUGCACCCAUGUUUCCUUUAUUAUCCCUAGUCAAAAGGAAAGGGGCACACCCCAGCACCAUUUUCUCCCAUCGUUCAGCUUUGGGAAAAUGGUCCACUUUACCUCUACUUUCCCUCAGUUAACAGGAUCUUAAACUGAGGCUCAGUAGCAAGUGUUUGGCUAACUCGUACAAGGCCCUGGGUUCCAGUCCCAGAACUCUAAAUAAAUAAAUAAGCAUAUAAAUAAAUUCAGUAACAGUAGUGGAGGUAAGGAAUCAAAUAUUUCCAAAAUAACAAGAUAAUUGUUGUUAAUAGUCUUUCAGUACAUUUACUCCUGGCUAGGUAUGGAUCUACAGCCACAAAAUGUAAGAAGCCAUUGGGAAUUUCAAACUACUGAUGACCUAGCAAAUGAACUUCACUCUGAAAAUACCAGUGUUGAUGAUAAUAAUUCACAUAUUCUAAAGCAGUGGCUCUCACCCUCCCUGAGGCUGUAACCCUUUAAUACAAUUCCUCAUGUUUCAUAAACCAUAAAAUUAUUUUCAUUGCUACCUCCUAACUAUAAUUUUGCAACUGUUAUGUUAUAAAUCAUAAUGUAAAUAUCUGUGUUUUCUAAUGGUCUUUUGGGGGGUCACAACCCACAGGUUGAAAAUGGCUAUUCUCAAGGGUCCUGGAACUUGGCAAUGAAAGACGCAUCGGUAUAGAUGGCUCCAUCUCAUCCAAGCUAUAAAAUUAGCAGGAGACAGCUGUAUGACCUUGGAAAAUGGAUGGAACUAGAAGAAACCAUUCUGAGCAAGCUCGCAUCCAGCAGCUGGUGGAAGUAGAAGCAGACACCCACAACAACACUGAACUGAACUGGAAUCCAGUUGCAGAGAAGGACAAGUGAAGAACAAAGGGGUCCAGAUCAGGCUGGUGAAACCCACAGAAACAGCUGACCUGAACAUAGGGGAGCUCUUGGUCCCCAGACUGAUAGCUGGGAUACCAGCAUGGGACUGAUCCAGACCCCAGCAACAUGGGUUUCAGUGAGGAAACCUCCGAAAUCUACG